RNAcentral lists this ribosomal RNA (253 nucleotides) under uncultured bacterium. RNAcentral's name for it is "partial 16S ribosomal RNA". It matches the Rfam family "Bacterial small subunit ribosomal RNA", at positions 524 to 776 of the family's 1533-position model. The record is from RNAcentral.
UACGGGGGGGGCAAGCGUUGUUCGGAAUUACUGGGCGUAAAGGGCUCGUAGGUGGCCAACUAAGUCAGACGUGAAAUCCCUCGGCUUAACCGGGGAACUGCGUCUGAUACUGGAUGGCUAGAGUUUGGGAGAGGGAUGCGGAAUUCCAGGCGUAGCGGUGAAAUGCGUAGAUAUCUGGAGGAACACCGGUGGCGAAGGCGGCAUCCUGGACCAACACUGACGCUGAGGUGCGAAAGCGUGGGGAGCAAACAGG